AUUGAACGCUGGCGGCAGGCCUAACACAUGCAAGUCGAGCGGUAGAGAGAAGCUUGCUUCUCUUGAGAGCGGCGGACGGGUGAGUAACGCGUAGGAAUCUACCUGGUAGUGGGGGACAACAUUCGGAAACGGAUGCUAAUACCGCAUACGCCCUAAGGGGGAAAGGAGGGGAUCUAUUUAUAGACCUUUCGCUAUCAGAUGAGCCUGCGUAGGAUUAGCUAGUUGGUAGGGUAAAGGCCUACCAAGGCGACGAUCCUUAGCUGGUCUGAGAGGAUGACCAGCCACACUGGGACUGAGACACGGCCCAG
Molecule: ribosomal RNA, 308 nt
Filed under: uncultured bacterium
Lineage: Bacteria
Description: bacterial SSU rRNA
Rfam family: Bacterial small subunit ribosomal RNA
Source: RNAcentral